UACGGGGGGGGCAAGCGUUGUUCGGAAUUACUGGGCGUAAAGGGCUCGUAGGCGGCCGACUAAGUCGGACGUGAAAUCCCUCGGCUUAACCGGGGAAUGGCGUCCGAUACUGGUCGGCUCGAGUGUGGGAGAGGGAUGCGGAAUUCCAGGUGUAGCGGUGAAAUGCGUAGAUAUCUGGAGGAACACCGGUGGCGAAGGCGGCCAUCCUGGACUACUACUGACGCUGAGGAGCGAAAGCCAGGGGAGCAAACGGG
This 254-nucleotide ribosomal RNA is filed under the name uncultured bacterium. RNAcentral describes it as "partial 16S ribosomal RNA". It matches the Rfam family "Bacterial small subunit ribosomal RNA", at positions 524 to 776 of the family's 1533-position model. The record is from RNAcentral.